RNAcentral lists this ribosomal RNA (494 nucleotides) under uncultured bacterium. RNAcentral describes it as "partial 16S ribosomal RNA". It matches the Rfam family "Bacterial small subunit ribosomal RNA", at positions 28 to 506 of the family's 1533-position model. The record is from RNAcentral.
GACGAACGCUGGCGGCGUGCCUAAUACAUGCAAGUAGAACGCUGAAGGAGGAGCUUGCUUCUCUGGAUGAGUUGCGAACGGGUGAGUAACGCGUAGGUAACCUGCCUGGUAGCGGGGGAUAACUAUUGGAAACGAUAGCUAAUACCGCAUAAUAGCAGUUAUUGCAUGAUAACUGUUUGAAAGGUGCAAUUGCACCACUACCAGAUGGACCUGCGUUGUAUUAGCUAGUUGGUGGGGUAACGGCUCACCAAGGCGACGAUACAUAGCCGACCUGAGAGGGUGAUCGGCCACACUGGGACUGAGACACGGCCCAGACUCCUACGGGAGGCAGCAGUAGGGAAUCUUCGGCAAAGGACGGAAGUCUGACCGAGCAACGCCGCGUGAGUGAAGAAGGUGUUCGGAUCGUAAAGCUCUGUUGUAAGAGAAGAACGAGUGUGAGAGUGGAAAGUUCACACUGUGACGGUAUCUUACCAGAAAGGGACGGCUAACUACGU